This 645-nucleotide unclassified non-coding RNA is filed under the name Leishmania donovani. RNAcentral describes it as "gene:unknown". Lineage: Eukaryota; Euglenozoa; Kinetoplastea; Trypanosomatida; Trypanosomatidae. The record is from RNAcentral.
GGGAGGAGGGCGGGGACGGCACACACCCCUCAGCGUGUGGUAUCUCAACCUCCCGCACCCCCACUCUGUGUGUAGGUAAGCCCAGCAGUCAUCCUAUCCCUGCCGCAUGCCGAACCACUUGCAGUGGUGACAGGUGCAAGCAGCUACAAAGACGCUGGGCACGUCUGUACCAUUCAUAUGAUUUGCAGAGUGCCAGGGUGGCUUGAGCGUGUGUCUCGCCCGGCCCUCACUGCCCUUGCUGGUGAAGGGAGCCGGACCCACUCCGAGGAGGGGAUGCCCCCCGGGGGCGGCCAGCGCAGUGGAGGCGGCUGUGAGGCGACCUGCGAGGCGGGUGGGCGGCCAGCGUUAGAGGCAGGGGGCCGCGCUGAGGUGGCGGAGUCGGCGCAUUGCCGUAACGCGUGCGGCCUACGGCCGCUUCGCACCAGGCGGAUGGGGCCUGUGACAGACCGUCUCCAGCGUAGACUGCAUGCCGUGUGUGGGAGAGCGGGCACCUUGGAAGGGAAAAGAAGAAAUGCGGUUUCUUCUCCCGUGCGGUGAAGGAUGCAAUGAUCUGCGCUCCAGUUUUCGGCGCGGGUGGCUCUGCUCGCGUCGUUUGUUUGCUGGUCUCUUUGUGGUGGGCCGAGUUGAUCCAGUGAUGAAAGAUAC